This 107-nucleotide small nuclear RNA is filed under the name Colobus angolensis palliatus. Lineage: Eukaryota; Metazoa; Chordata; Mammalia; Primates; Cercopithecidae. The record is from RNAcentral.
GUGCUCACCUCAGCAGCACAAAUACUAAAAUUGGAACGAUACAGAGAAGAUUCGCAUGGCCCCUGUGCAAGGAUGACAUGCAAAUUCGUGAAGCGUUCCAUUUUUUC